Molecule: ribosomal RNA, 442 nt
Filed under: uncultured bacterium
Lineage: Bacteria
Description: partial 16S ribosomal RNA
Rfam family: Bacterial small subunit ribosomal RNA
Source: RNAcentral
CCUACGGGAGGCAGCAGUGGGGAAUAUUGGGCAAUGGACGCAAGUCUGACCCAGCAACGCCGCGUGAAGGAAGAAGGCUUUCGGGUUGUAAACUUCUUUUAAGGGGGAAGAGCAGAAGACGGUACCCCUUGAAUAAGCUACGGCUAACGACGUGACAGCAGCCGCGGUAAUACGUAGGUGGCAAGCGUUGUCCGGAUUUAGUGGGUGUAAAGGGCGUGCAGGCGGGGAGACAAGUCAGAUGUGAAAUCCACGGGCUCAACCCGUGAACUGCAUUGGAAACUGGUUCCCGUGAGUGUCGGAGAGGUAAGCGGAAUUCCUUGUGUAGCGGUGAAAUGCGUAGAUAUAAGGAAGAACACCAGUGGCGAAGGCGGAUGACUGGACUAUAACUGACGGUGAGGCGCGAAAGCGUGGGGAGCAAACAGGAUUAGAUACCCGAGUAGUC